GACGAACGCUGGCGGCGUGCUUAACACAUGCAAGUCGAACGGAAAGGCCCCUUUGGGGGUACUCGAGUGGCGCACGGGUGAGUAACACGUGAGUAACCUGCCCUUGACUUCGGGAUAACUUCAGGAAACUGGGGCUAAUACCGGAUAGGAAUCCUUGCUGCAUGGUGGGGGUUGGAAAGCUUCGGCGGUUUUGGAUGGACUCGCGGCUUAUCAGCUUGUUGGUGGGGUAGUGGCUUACCAAGGCUUUGACGGGUAGCCGGCCUGAGAGGGCGACCGGCCACAUUGGGACUGAGAUACGGCCCAGACUCCUACGGGAGGCAGCAGGGGGGAAUAUUGCACAAUGGGCGGAAGCCUGAUGCAGCAACGCCGCGGGCGGGAUGACGGCCUUCGGGUUGUAAACCGCUUUCAGCAGGGGCGAAGCUUGUGGUGACGGUACCUGCAGAAGAAGCACCGGCUAACUACGUG
Molecule: ribosomal RNA, 465 nt
Filed under: uncultured bacterium
Lineage: Bacteria
Description: partial 16S ribosomal RNA
Rfam family: Bacterial small subunit ribosomal RNA
Source: RNAcentral